GGGGUGUGAUCUACAAUCGAUACCGAAGCCAAAUAUAUAGUUUUUAGAAUUUUUGUCUGUUUGUCUGUUUGUCUGUAUGUAUGUCCGGGAUAAGCUCAAAAAGUACUGCAUGGAUUUACUUCAAAUUUGACACGAAUAUUAUCACGCUAUCAACUACACGAGCAGUGAACCUUUAUUUCUUCAACGCAUUCUGUAACAACGUGUAAUCUAACGACGCAUAUUUGAAUGUUGUUGUUAUUAUGUUAAUAACCAUGCUAUAAGCUAGCUUCACACUUUAAAUAAAGACAUUCUG
RNAcentral lists this unclassified non-coding RNA (292 nucleotides) under Melitaea cinxia (Glanville fritillary). RNAcentral describes it as "misc RNA ENSMCXG00005002604.1". The record is from RNAcentral. Lineage: Eukaryota; Metazoa; Arthropoda; Insecta; Lepidoptera; Nymphalidae.